CCUCUGCAAGGGAGCAGGUCAAGGGAACCUCCAGGGCCCGUGCCCGGUGGUCUUAAAGCUUUAGAAGGAGCAUGCUGUGUGGCACCCAGAGGGGCGAGUGGGCAGCCUGGGGGCUCUGGGUGAGGAUGGACCUGAGGAGAGAGGUAUCUGCUGUGUACCUACUGUAUUCUGGGCUUUAACCCAGUCUCCAGCACAACUCCAGGAACCCACGGGGGCCAGAGGGCAGCACCCACGUUGGAUUCCGGUGGAAGGGACCGGGGCACCACGUGGUAACAUGGGCAAACAAGGUCAUCGCGUCCUUCGUUAUUGUAGUCAGAGGUCCCAGCACAGAAACCAGGACCUGCAGGUGGAUGGAACACAGUUGGCACCGUUUGGGGAAAGUGAGUCAAGGGCCAAAGGCAAGGGUUGAGUCCUUGUGUUUCCUUGAACACUUUUUUUCUGUUUAAGGCACUCCUUCUGGGCUGCUCCCCAGACUCCCAGGGCCUGGUGGCAACGUGGUCACAUGCCAGUGCGCUGGGCACGUGGAUGAUGCUGCGCAGGGAUGUAACAUCUUCCGAGAUGGCCAGCUUUGCCAUGAGGAUCAGAAGCCUGCUGAAGGCCCAGAACAGGGCAUCUUAACAAUGGCCCCCAAACUCUACCUGGAAGCCCCUUGGCUUCCAGGGGUGGGGUGGGGGAGGAAACGCUCGGAGCCCAGCAGGGGGCAGAAAAACAGAAGCCCGGUACCCUGGGUCCCAGCUCUCCCCAGCCUGGGGUGGACGCUCCCCUGCUUUGUCUCCCUCAGACAUUCGGUUUCUGAGUCAGAGCACAUGCCAAGCAAGGGUUCUGCUGCGAAAAGAAAAAAACAGGUUUGAAAGCCACCAAUUUAAAUUAAUACAGCGAUAACAUUUAAUUGCAUUAAACGGUUUUUUCCCCAUCAGUUGUUUUGGCAUUAGAACAUGACACUUUGUCGGGAGAGCUGGGUCAGCGCUCGGCUCUUUAAAGCGAAAGAACGCUCUGGUUGCCGUUUCCCAGCUCUGAGGGACGCUCCUGGCCUCAGUUUCCCCAUCUAUGAGAUUGAGAUGCUCUCGGCUUCACCUUCCAUGCGGAGCAAGGCACCAAGGAGUUUAGGGCAAUGAGCGAGUUUGCAGGCAGUGGAAGCAAGGAAAGCCGAGAUGCCAGGGUGUGGUGAUUAAUCUGAGAACACGCAGCUCGCUGGAAGGGUGAGGGGUCAAGCCGCGCUCACUGCCUGUGUCUGGACGGGGAGACAGCAGGCCGAGGACGCCGUGUUUAUCUGCCGAAUGCAUGUGCCAAACCCAGCUUCGGGGUCGUUUGCGUUGUUCCUGACCACCCAACAAACCUGUAAGCCCAGGGACCAGGUGAGGGCUUGAGGCCAAACCACGCCCCCUGUUUC
Leptonychotes weddellii (Weddell seal) is the source of this 1390-nucleotide non-coding RNA. The record is from RefSeq and is a predicted model, not a curated record. Lineage: Eukaryota; Metazoa; Chordata; Mammalia; Carnivora; Phocidae.